Molecule: microRNA, 22 nt
Filed under: Bos taurus (domestic cattle)
Lineage: Eukaryota; Metazoa; Chordata; Mammalia; Artiodactyla; Bovidae
Description: bta-miR-2448-3p
Source: miRBase by way of RNAcentral
GUGGUUGAUUGGAUCCGUGGGU